GGGGAUGUGGCGAAAUUGGCAGACGCACUAGACUUAGGAUCUAGCGGGUAACACCAUGAGAGUUCAAGUCUCUCCGUCCCCACCA
RNAcentral lists this transfer RNA (85 nucleotides) under Kapaibacterium sp. (SeqCode). RNAcentral's name for it is "tRNA-Leu". It matches the Rfam family "tRNA". Rfam says of the family: Transfer RNA (tRNA) molecules are approximately 80 nucleotides in length. Their secondary structure includes four short double-helical elements and three loops (D, anti-codon, and T loops). Lineage: Bacteria; Pseudomonadati; Bacteroidota; Eximiradiia; Eximiradiales; Kapaibacteriaceae (SeqCode). The record is from RNAcentral.